AGUGAACGCUGGCGGUAUGCCUAACACAUGCAAGUCGAACGGCAGCACCGUAAGUGUUUGCUCUUACGGGUGGCGGGUGGCGGACGUGUGACGUAUGUAUCGUAAUCUUCUCUUUCGUGGGGGAUAACGUAGGUAAACUUACUCUAAUACCGCAUACGACGUACUGGGGUAAGCAGUGGAUCUUUUGGCCUUUCGGGGUUGAAUUCGCCGAUGUCGGAUUAGCUGGUUGGCGGGUGAAAGGCCCACCAAGGCGACGAUGCGUAGCUGGUCAGAGAGGAUGGUCAGCCACCUGGGAAGGGAGACAGCGUCCCGACGCCUACGGGAGGACGCAGUCGGGAAUAUUAGGCAAUGGGGGCAAGCAUGAUACAGCCAUAGCGCGGAGGGGAAGAAGGCCUUCGGGUUGUAAAGCCCUUUUGUUGGUAGAGAAAAGCAGCAGGUUAAUACGCCGCUGUACUGACGGUACCCGAAGAAUAAGCACCGGCUAACUACGUG
This 492-nucleotide ribosomal RNA is filed under the name uncultured bacterium. Its description in RNAcentral is "partial 16S ribosomal RNA". It matches the Rfam family "Bacterial small subunit ribosomal RNA", at positions 29 to 507 of the family's 1533-position model. The record is from RNAcentral.